This 279-nucleotide ribosomal RNA is filed under the name uncultured bacterium. RNAcentral describes it as "partial 16S ribosomal RNA". It matches the Rfam family "Bacterial small subunit ribosomal RNA", at positions 506 to 784 of the family's 1533-position model. The record is from RNAcentral.
UGCCAGCCGCCGCGGUAAUACGGAGGGUGCAAGCGUUGUUCGGAAUUAUUGGGCGUAAAGCGCGUGUAGGCGGUUCGUUAAGUCUGAUGUGAAAGCCCGGGGCUCAACCCCGGAAGUGCAUUGGAAACUGGCGAACUUGAGUACGGGAGAGGAAAGUGGAAUUCCGAGUGUAGGGGUGAAAUCCGUAGAUAUUCGGAGGAACACCAGUGGCGAAGGCGGCUUUCUGGACCGAUACUGACGCUGAGACGCGAAAGCGUGGGGAGCAAACAGGAUUAGAUA